GAUUUUACGAAACUCGACCCCUAAGGGGGUAAAACGGGGGUUGGAAGUUUGUAUGAAAGUCCUAUGUUUUUGAAGUAAGAGACCUGAAAUUUAAAAUGUAUGCUCUAUAGAUGGUGAGAAAGUGUCCAAAUAUGCAUCGUAAUCUAUAUAUAUAAAAGAGAAAGGUCACUGACUCACUCAUUACGAGAACUUAAUAACCGCUGGAUGGUCCAUCCAUCCAGGAUGGACAAAGAUGAGGCAGGGAGGUAGAUUAUAGUUAGUUGACGUCCGCUAAGAACGGAUUUUGUGAUAUUCCACCGCUAAGAGGGU
This 309-nucleotide unclassified non-coding RNA is filed under the name Melitaea cinxia (Glanville fritillary). Its description in RNAcentral is "misc RNA ENSMCXG00005020161.1". The record is from RNAcentral. Lineage: Eukaryota; Metazoa; Arthropoda; Insecta; Lepidoptera; Nymphalidae.